AGCUAAAAUUCCUUCCUCCCAACUGGGUUUUUACUUUUUUUCUUUAGGAGGCCGACCAGAAUCAAAAAGAUGAUGAUGAAAAGGAAUAGAAUAAGAAGGAGAAGGCAGUGGCGACAAUUGAAGUUGGGUUUUUACCCAUUGUGAAAUCGCAAAGCUGACUUUUGGAUCAUGCUCGAAUCCUAAAAUCUCAAGCCACAGCUGACACCUAGCUUUUAACGGUUACCACACCUAGCUUUUAACGGUUACCACUAUCCGCCCCCAUCUUGAUGCUCUGGUUGAACAAGACACCACUCCGGUACUGGAUAACGUGUCCUUAAGUCAUGAAAAGCCCACGCAGAAGGCCUGCAUCAGUGAAGAGUUACCUAACUGCCGAAAAUCAUAGGUAUUCAACUGAGUUAUUAUCAAAGCCAUUGCAAUUCAAAUGUUGACUACCAAUAGGUGGUAUUAUUUAGGAUGCAAGAAGUGCCCUACAGAAACCAGAGUAGUCCAAAUCCUAUAUUUUUGACAGUAGAAGCUACAUCAGUUUGAGGCCUUUAUGGUGGUGACAUGAGAGGUCAGGUGCUAUUCACUAUUGUAAGUGAUGCAAUUUUUUUUUCCUUAUCCAUUUUUUUGUAGUUAGUACAUUGUGUGUCUCUUCCUGCAGAGACCAUUUUUCUUAGAAUCCUUGGAAAUUCAUGUUGAUGAAAUCGGACCAUCUUUCUUUUGCGAUAAUCUCCGAGUUGUCUUUUUAAUGUUAAUCUAGCAUUUUUAUGUACAUGGCAGAUUCAAGAAUCCUGGGACAUUAAGUGUAAACAAAUAAUUAGUUUAACCUCCUCAUGUUUCUGUAAUCUAUUGUGAAGCAACGGUUGUUGGGUUGGCUGAUGGUAACGAUGAGUACUACAUGGCUUGCAAAACUUACAUUAGGCGGGUAGAGUAUGUAUAUGACCAGGGUUCCUGCAGCAAGUGUGUAAAUGAGUACCGAGGAGAUGUGCAUACUUUUACUGUUAAUCUAGCGUUCUUAUUUGAUGUGUUAAGUAAUUGUCAAUCGGUCACACUACUUCACCUGAAAUAAAGGAUGAGAUUGAGAUCUCAUGUGAACACAUUUUAUGAUGAUUAGUUCAGAGAAGAUAAAACUUUUUUAGUAGCAUCACAUAAUAAACAAGGUUGAGGAUCCUUUACCAAGGUUCCAUAUGAGUUCGGUUUUUGUUUCAGAUAAAUCUUCCCCUUUCCCUUUUAUAUAUAUGCAAGUACCUUCUCCGUUUUGACUGCCCUAGACAGUGAAGUGUAAUGUAUUGUGCGCGCCACUGCUUCUGAGAUGGUGAUGCUGGGACAGAGGUACACAUUACGGUUUGCAUUAUUUUCAAAACCCGUCAUAUACAUUUACAAAGCGGGAAGACGUCGGCGGUGGCUAUAUAUUGUCAUCUCUUGAUUGAAAUGCCAUCUCUUUGAUAAAAUAUAGUUACUGGGCAACUUGAUAUUUUUCAUUUGUUGAUCGGCUCAAAGCCAGCAUA
Molecule: long non-coding RNA, 1490 nt
Organism: Papaver somniferum (opium poppy)
Lineage: Eukaryota; Viridiplantae; Streptophyta; Magnoliopsida; Ranunculales; Papaveraceae
Exons: 4
Source: RefSeq, a predicted model, not a curated record